AUCCAGCUGAUGAGUCCGAAGUAAGACGAAACGCGUGUCCUGGAU
Molecule: non-coding RNA, 45 nt
Filed under: Schistosoma mattheei
Lineage: Eukaryota; Metazoa; Platyhelminthes; Trematoda; Strigeidida; Schistosomatidae
Source: RNAcentral